Molecule: ribosomal RNA, 2325 nt
Filed under: Rhodotorula toruloides ATCC 204091
Lineage: Eukaryota; Fungi; Basidiomycota; Microbotryomycetes; Sporidiobolales; Sporidiobolaceae
Description: Rhodotorula glutinis ATCC 204091 Bacterial large subunit ribosomal RNA
Rfam family: Bacterial large subunit ribosomal RNA
Source: Rfam by way of RNAcentral
UGCUAAUUGUACACGGUGUAGUUUUGGGCUGCUUGCAGCAGGGACUCAACAGGCUCAGUCUUAAGGUAAACCCGUUGAAUGCUUACGAGCUGAACCAAAACAUUGUAGUAAGCUUAGGAAAGGACAUCAACCGACACGCGACUAGUAGCGGCGAGCCAACGUCGCAUAGCCCUGCAAGCGUUUUAAGUCAGCAAAAUGCUUAUGACUAGCAGUCAUAGCUGGUGCCAACCCAGUAAGCUGACCGGCGUUUGCAACUAGCUACUACUGGCUUUGGGCUUUUGCAAAAGUAGUCAAAAUUGCAGCACAUUACACCGUGCUGCAAUUUUGGUACUUUUGGCUACUUUAGUGUAGUUUCGUCCCAACACACGUACGUGUGUUGGGACGAAAAGCAAAGGCUUGCGCCAUUAGGCAGCAAAGUAAAACGGUUCACACUGUUUGAACAUAGGUGUACCCUCACCUAAGGCUAAGUACCGCGUGGUUAGCAAUAGCGUACAGUACUGUAAAGGAACGGUGAAAAGCAAGUCGUUGACUGCUGCAACAAAACCUGAACUAACAGCCUCAUAAGCAGGCAGCGUGUCACAACACAAUGCCGUACCUUUUGCAUAAUGGGUCAGUAAUUUUGUGUUACUAGCAAGGCGUAAGCCUAAGCAAACGCGACUACUUACACACAUGUAGGUGCAGGGGCCCUAAUUGCACCGGCCUACAUUAGUGGGCACAGUUAGCAACACAAGACCCGAAACGUAGUGACCUAGUCAUGUGCAGGUGCAAAGACCGAACGAAUGCAUGUUGCAUAAUGCUUCGACGACAUGUGACUAGUAGUGAAAUGCUAACCUAACUGCGUCAUAGCUGGUUUUUUGCGAAAUGCAUUGCAGUGCAGCGUCAUGGGCCCUAAUUGCAGCAGGUACAACACUGGCUAGCAAGCACGACUUUGCAUGGCUUAAAGCACCGUGCAAUUAAGGCGUGUUGAUUAAGGGGGCCUAAUUGCCUUACUUAGGCUAGCUAGCUUCAUAAUGGCUGCAAUUGCCCAUGGCAGUGAGUGGUGUGGCAAUAAGGUCGCACCACAAGUAGGCAACAGCCUUGACGUGGCGUUAAAGUCCCUAAUUUUAGCAUGAGUGAAUUUAAGAAGGUCCCUAACCUAAAACAGUCAUGAUGUGGGAUUGGCAGCGUCCACCAUUUAAAGAAAGCGUAACAGCUCAGUGACCUAGUCCCAGGACUGUACUGUAGGCUGUUAGGGGUACUAGUUCCUACAUGGGUAUGCUUUGCGCUGCACAUACAUGGCCCUAGUGUACUAACGUCUAAUUACAGGGCGUGUUACAACAUGCUUUGUGACUAUGACCCCAUGUGCUGCAAAAGCUACAUGGGUGCUUACACGCCGUCCUAGGUCAGUGGCGUCGACAAUUUAACGGGUCUAAUGCUAAAACUAAAACCCACGUGCUUGCCAUUACACCGUGUACAGUUAGCCCAGUCAGCCUUGCCUUAAUCGUAAUGCAGUUUUUUUAAAAAAAAAAGUCAUGCAACGUAGCGGGGGUGUAGGCGGCUGUGUUGCUGUGCAAGGCUUUAAUUGGCAAGGCAAGUAGCAAAACGUGCUGCAGCGUUGAACCGUAGUCUUUAAUUACACGAGCUAGCAGCAGUGCAAAUGCUGACAUGAGUAGCACCAUGGGUGUUUAAACACCCACGCUGUAACAAAAUGGGUUUUAAGCAGCUGUUACACAGGCUUAAGUCAUUGCGAAGUCUAAGCAGCUAGUCAACACGACGCUGUAAUGACCAUGUAGUACGAAGGUUAAAACCCAAGAAAAACUACUGCGCUGGCCUGCCUUAAGUUUGCUUAAUGGGGGCCAGCCAAUCGUACCCAGUACCGACACAGGUUUUGUGGUGUAGUACACUAAAGCGACAGACUAAUCAACGUUCAGGAACUCGGCAAAAUGACCUCGUACGUUCGUCAAGAAGAGGUGUCUUACACCAUGUGAAGUUAGCAUGCUGCAAAAGGCCCAUGGGUGUGGCGCUAGUCCCCCAUGGGUACGCAUGCCCUAAUGGCAUGGUGUAAGACCGCAGCUAAUCGCGAAAUGCAACUGUUUACUCAAAACACAGCAGCCUGCCAACACUAAAAGUGGUAGUAUAGGUUGUGAUUCCUGUCCGUGUUGCGCCAUAANNNNNNNNNNNNNNNNNNNNAGUGUUAUGACUAGCUUACUGCAGCAGCGCCUGUAAUUACAUAAGCCUUUAGCAACUUACAUGCUUUUUUUGCAUUAAUUUGCAAUUUGCGAACGGUGUAAUGUUAUGACUUACUUGCAGCUGCAGUAGCCUGUAAUUACAUGAGCCAUUAGCAAC